Ceratotherium simum simum (southern white rhinoceros) is the source of this 119-nucleotide non-coding RNA. The record is from RefSeq and is a predicted model, not a curated record. Lineage: Eukaryota; Metazoa; Chordata; Mammalia; Perissodactyla; Rhinocerotidae.
CCACAAAAAUCAGAGCACCCGAUGCGUGUAAAACUCCCUUCUGGGAGAUACUGGUACUCUGGAGCACAGCAAAGGGAGAGUGUGAAGAUGGCACCCACCAAAAAGGGGAAAAAAAGGAG